RNAcentral lists this ribosomal RNA (492 nucleotides) under uncultured bacterium. RNAcentral describes it as "partial 16S ribosomal RNA". It matches the Rfam family "Bacterial small subunit ribosomal RNA", at positions 30 to 507 of the family's 1533-position model. The record is from RNAcentral.
AUUGAACGCUGGCGGCAUGCUUUACACAUGCAAGUCGAACGGUAACAGGCCUUCGGGUGCUGACGAGUGGCGAACGGGUGAGUAAUGCAUCGGAACGUACCCAGAGGUGGGGGAUAACGCAGCGAAAGCUGUGCUAAUACCGCAUGUGAUCUGAGGAUGAAAUCGGGGGACCGAGCAGCAAUGUUUGGCCUCGCGCCUUUGGAGCGGCCGAUGUCGGAUUAGCUAGUUGGUGGGGUAAAGGCCUACCAAGGCGACGAUCCGUAGCUGGUCUGAGAGGACGACCAGCCACACUGGGACUGAGACACGGCCCAGACUCCUACGGGAGGCAGCAGUGGGGAAUUUUGGACAAUGGGCGCAAGCCUGAUCCAGCAAUGCCGCGUGCGGGAAGAAGGCCUUCGGGUUGUAAACCGCUUUUGGCAGGAACGAAACGGUGUCCGCUAAUACCGGGCGCUAAUGACGGUACCUGCAGAAUAAGCACCGGCUAACUACGUG